GUGGGGCAUUAUCUAGCGGUUAGGGUAUUGGAUUCCCAGCCAAAAGGUUGUGGGUUCGAACCCCAAUGUCCACA
Merluccius polli (Benguela hake) is the source of this 74-nucleotide non-coding RNA. NCBI's taxonomy places the organism in Eukaryota, Metazoa, Chordata, Actinopteri, Gadiformes, Merlucciidae. The record is from the annotation of a GenBank genome assembly.